RNAcentral lists this ribosomal RNA (253 nucleotides) under uncultured bacterium. Its description in RNAcentral is "partial 16S ribosomal RNA". It matches the Rfam family "Bacterial small subunit ribosomal RNA", at positions 524 to 776 of the family's 1533-position model. The record is from RNAcentral.
CACGUAGGGCGCAAGCGUUGUCCGGAAUUAUUGGGCGUAAAGAGCUCGUAGGCGGUCUGUUGCGUCUGCUGUGAAAACCCGGGGCUUAACCCCUGGCUUGCAGUGGAUACGGACAGACUAGAGGUAGGUAGGGGAGAAUGGAAUUCCCGGUGUAGCGGUGAAAUGCGCAGAUAUCAGGAGGAACACCGGUGGCGAAGGCGGUUCUCUGGGCCUUACCUGACACUGAGGAGCGAAAGCGUGGGGAGCGAACAGG